GUGGGGAAUUUUGGACAAUGGGCGCAAGCCUGAUCCAGCCAUGCCGCGUGAGUGAAGAAGGCCUUCGGGUUGUAAAGCUCUUUCAGUCGGAAAGAAAAGGCGCGCUCUAACAUAGCGUGCUGAUGACGGUACCGACAGAAGAAGCACCGGCUAACUACGUGCCAGCAGCCGCGGUAAUACGUAGGGUGCGAGCGUUAAUCGGAAUUACUGGGCGUAAAGCGUGCGCAGGCGGUUGUGUAAGACAGGUGUGAAAUCCCCGGGCUUAACCUGGGAACUGCGCUUGUGACUGCACGGCUAGAGUACGGCAGGGGGGGGUGGAAUUCCACGUGUAGCAGUGAAAUGCGUAGAGAUGUGGAGGAACACCGAUGGCGAAGGCAGCCCCCUGGGCCGAUACUGACGCUCAUGCACGAAAGCGUGGGGAGCAAACAGGAUUAGAAACCCGGGUAGUCC
RNAcentral lists this ribosomal RNA (450 nucleotides) under uncultured bacterium. RNAcentral describes it as "partial 16S ribosomal RNA". It matches the Rfam family "Bacterial small subunit ribosomal RNA", at positions 354 to 796 of the family's 1533-position model. The record is from RNAcentral.